ACAUGCCUACAACAUAGUUUUAACGCAUCAAAUCCCAUUAGAAAUCCGUAUUUAAGCACGCUUGGGAUAAAGUAGUACUGGGAUGGGUGACUGCCCGGGAAGUCUUAGUGUUUUACAUGCC
Picea glauca (white spruce) is the source of this 121-nucleotide non-coding RNA. The record is from Rfam. Lineage: Eukaryota; Viridiplantae; Streptophyta; Pinopsida; Pinales; Pinaceae.